This 1313-nucleotide ribosomal RNA is filed under the name metagenome. RNAcentral's name for it is "bacterial LSU rRNA". It matches the Rfam family "Bacterial large subunit ribosomal RNA", at positions 1599 to 2925 of the family's 2925-position model. The record is from RNAcentral.
GUCAAGCUUCCAAGAAAAGCCCUAUACCCGUUAAGGCAUGAUGGCCUGUACCCGAAACCGACACAGGUGGGGUUGUAGAGAAUACCGAGGGGCGCGAGGUAACUCUCUCUAAGGAACUCGGCAAAAUGGCCCCGUAACUUCGGGAGAAGGGGUGCCACCGCGAGGUGGUCGCAGUGAAGAGGCCCAGGCGACUGUUUACCAAAAACACAGGUCUCCGCUAAGUCGCAAGACGAUGUAUGGGGGCUGACGCCUGCCCAGUGCCGGAAGGUUAAGGAAGCUGGUCAGCGCAAGCGAAGCUGGCGACUGAAGCCCCGGUGAACGGCGGCCGUAACUAUAACGGUCCUAAGGUAGCGAAAUUCCUUGUCGGGUAAGUUCCGACCCGCACGAAAGGCGUAACGAUCUGGGCGCUGUCUCGGAGAGAGGCUCGGCGAAAUAGAAUUGUCUGUGAAGAUGCGGACUACGUGCACCCGGACAGAAAGACCCUAUGAAGCUUUACUGUAGCUUGGUAUUGUGCUCGGGCUCGGAAUGCGCAGGAUAGGUGGGAGGCUUUGAUCCAUUGCUUGCGGGUGAUGGUGAGCCACUGGUGAGAUACCACUCUUUCCGAGCUAGAGUUCUAACAGCAACCCGUUAUCCGGGUGCUGGACAGUAUCAGGUGGGCAGUUUGACUGGGGCGGUCGCCUCCUAAAAGGUAACGGAGGCGCGCAAAGGUCUGCUCAGGCUGGUUGAAAUCAGCCGACGAGUGUAAAAGCAGAAGCAGGCUUGACUGUGAGACCUACAAGUCGAACAGGGGGGAAACUCGGCUUUAGUGAUCCGACGGUUCUGCGUGGAAGGGCCGUCGCUCAACGGAUAAAAGUUACUCUAAGGAUAACUGGCUGAUCUCCCCCAAGAGUUCACAUCGACGGGGAGGUUUGGCACCUCGAUGUCGGCUCAUCGCAACCUGGGGCUGAUGUCGGUCCCAAGGGUUGGGCUGUUCGCCCAUUAAAGCGGUACGCGAGCUGGGUUCAGAACGUCGUGAGACAGUUCGGUCCAUAUCCGGUGCACGCGCAGGAAUAUUGAGAGGAUUUCUCCCUAGUACGAGAGGACCGGGAGGAACGCACCUCUGGUGUGCCAGUUAUCGUGCCAACGGUAAACGCUGGGUAGCCAUGUGCGGAAUGGAUAACCGCUGAAAGCAUCUAAGUGGGAAGCCCACCUCAAGAUGAGUAUUCCCAUGGCAUAAGCCAGUAAGGUCACGGGAAGAACACCCGUUGAUAGGCUCUACGUGGAAGCGCAGUAAUGUGUGAAGCGGAGGAGUACUAAUAGACCGAGGGCUUGAU